Molecule: ribosomal RNA, 293 nt
Filed under: uncultured bacterium
Lineage: Bacteria
Description: partial 16S ribosomal RNA
Rfam family: Bacterial small subunit ribosomal RNA
Source: RNAcentral
GUGUCAGCAGCCGCGGUAAGACGAACCGUGCGAACGUUAUUCGGAAUCAUUGGGCUUAAAGGGCGCGUAGGCGGGUCGGUACGUCGGUCGCUGAAAUCCCCCGGCUUAACCGGGGACGUGGCACCGAUACGGCCGACCUGGAGGCGAGGAGGGGGACCUGGAACGUCCGGUGGAGCGGUGAAAUGCGUUGAGAUCGGACGGAACGCCGACGGCGAAAGCAAGGUCCUGGACUCGUACUGACGCUGAGGCGCGAAAGCCAGGGGAGCGAACGGGAUUAGAAACCCCCGUAGUCC